This is a long non-coding RNA of Cydia strobilella, 689 nucleotides long. RefSeq lists it as uncharacterized. The record is from RefSeq and is a predicted model, not a curated record. The transcript has 3 exons. NCBI's taxonomy places the organism in Eukaryota, Metazoa, Arthropoda, Insecta, Lepidoptera, Tortricidae.
AAUGCGGCAAUAAAAUAAGCCGCAUAGCAACGCAACGUCAGUCGUCAGCUGUUUGACAGAUUGAGCUUGUGAAGGAACGCGAAUUCGGAAUCUAAAUAAUUUUGCUGAAAGAAAAUCAUUACAGAUUUACUGAAACGUUCUGUGUUGAAAUUUCGUGACUAUAGUGUAUAGAAAAAAGAAAACAUUUCUGUUGUCCAUAAGUGAAUCAGUGCUGUGAAAAUAAAAACGCACGAGAUCAAAUUUGAAUUUAGAAUUUGAGAUUUUUGCCAUACCCCCCAGACAUGCACGCCUAGACCACCAACCAAAAAUGACCAGCCCAUUCAGGAGGAAAUACACAACCAACAUAUUCCUAAACACAUAAACACUAGACUUCGCCAAAAACUCCAGUGAGAUAGUGUAAUAGUUCCUUUUGAGUGAUAUUAGUGAUAGUGAAGUGCCAUUAGUGUAUAAUUAAUAAAGUAAAUAUGAAUUUGUGGUGGUUGGUGGUCGUGCUGGCCGCGGCGAGUGCGGACCGGAGUACUCUACCCCCGACUUGUGAUAGUUUAAUAUACUGCCAUGGCCCGCUGCUGGACACGGUGCAGAUGGCCGGCCUCUACAACGACUCCAAGACCUUCGUGGACAUGAAGAUCAAGGUCUCCGCCAACAUCACCAUGGAACACUUCCAGGAGAUGAUGAACAAGUGAGUAUCA